AACGCACAUUGCGCCCGCCAGUAUUCUGGCGGGCAUGCCUGUUCGAGCGUCAUUUCAACCCUCAGGCCCCCCCGGGCGGCCUGGUGUUGGGGACCGGCGGGUGCCCUCCCGCCGCCCCCGAAAUGAAUUGGCGGCCUCGUCGCGGCCUUCCUCUGCGUAGUAGCACAACCUCGCAGCAGGAGCGCGGCGCGGCCACUGCCGUAAAACGCACCCAACUUCUCAAGAGUUGACCUCGAAUCAGGUAGGAAUACCCGCUGAACUUAA
This 264-nucleotide unclassified non-coding RNA is filed under the name uncultured fungus. RNAcentral's name for it is "partial contains 5.8S ribosomal RNA, internal transcribed spacer 2, and large subunit ribosomal RNA". The stretch from base 1 to 52 matches the Rfam family "5.8S ribosomal RNA", at positions 103 to 154 of the family's 154-position model. Lineage: Eukaryota; Fungi. The record is from RNAcentral.